GACCCCCCCCGUCCCCGGGCUGGGCUGGGCUGGGGGGCAGGAGCCCUGGCUCUGAGACCCCCCCCGUCC
Molecule: microRNA precursor, 69 nt
Organism: Pelodiscus sinensis (Chinese soft-shelled turtle)
Lineage: Eukaryota; Metazoa; Chordata; Testudines; Trionychidae
Source: Ensembl